CAAGGCUGCACACGUACUACAUUGAUCUAGUCAACGAGUAUGUAUGUAACAUUGAUNAUGCAUCUAUUGGUUAAGCUAUAAUGUAUUUCGGUAACGUUAAUUCAGAACUUCGAGAAGGUUCCGACAACAGUCAAUCUAGUUAUUGCUUGUAGUUGUUAAUUGUAUAAUUGUCUAGUUCACGCAACGUUCGUUAUCAUUCUCUAGUAUUGUUAAUUCACAGUGGGGACAGUCGUUUGUAAUUCUGAGACUCGGUUCAACCAGGAAUGCCUCGUAUUUGUGGUUCAUUAAACUCCGUGGAAUAAGUCCCUGUCCUUUGUACACACCGCCCGUCGCUUUUACCAAUGGCCCUCGUUGUGAGAUAGCUGGACAAGUAUU
Molecule: ribosomal RNA, 375 nt
Filed under: Turborotalita quinqueloba
Lineage: Eukaryota; Foraminifera; Rotaliida; Globigerinidae
Description: partial 18S ribosomal RNA
Rfam family: Eukaryotic small subunit ribosomal RNA
Source: RNAcentral